GUUUCAGUCAAACACGUCUGAAGCUUCACAGACACUGAGAAAAUCGUCAUAUAAUCACCACAUAAAAAAGCUGCAGAUCAACCAUGUCGAAGACAUCGAUGGAGAUCCAUGAUUCAAAGAUGAGUGAUGAGAUGCAGCGUGAGGCUCUUCAGGUCGCUCUUUUGGCUGUGAAUAUGUACACAAGUGGAUAUGACAUUGCUCUCUACAUUGUGAAGGAGUUUGACAGAAGGCAUGGGAACUAGUGGCAAUGCAUUGUGGGGAACUUUAGUUACUACGGGACAUUUCAAGGGAACACUUAUAUCAGCUUCUCUGUUGGUGGCAAAAACAUUACACUCUUCAAAUCUGCAUAAUAAACAACACACAAACAGCAAACACAACAUUCUGACAUCUCACAGUGUAAAAUCUUUACUGCAGUGGGAAUAAAAGAAUGACUGUACCGACUGAUUUCAAGUAGGGAUACUAUAAUUCAUACCAGAAGAAAUUAAAUUCAUGAACAGUGGAUGAGAUGAAGAGUAGGGUUUUACUUUAGCGCUCCUCCUCUCCAUCUCUCGCUCAAAGCAGACUAACGGUUGGAGGGGAGUGGUUUAAGCGUUUUCAACCCAAACCGUAGAACUGACGUUAUCAGGGAAGGAACUGUAAACAUUAUAAUAAGGAAGGAAUCCCAUUCCAGAACAGAAGUAACUUUUUAGAUUUUGAUUAAAGAUUACCACGACAAACUUUUUUUUUCUGUAUAUAAACUUACACGUAUUAAUUGUUCACCACAAGACUAGUAAAUAGUGUCAAUUUUGAUUUCAUGCUGACUUUAAGUAGUUUGAUUGGACGCUCAAGACAAGAUGUUGUUUGACCUAUAAAUAUGACCGUUCUUCUGAAUAAAUGUGAGAAUGCUUUCUAUCACA
Long non-coding RNA from Megalobrama amblycephala (Wuchang bream), 896 nucleotides. RefSeq lists it as uncharacterized. Lineage: Eukaryota; Metazoa; Chordata; Actinopteri; Cypriniformes; Xenocyprididae. The record is from RefSeq and is a predicted model, not a curated record. The transcript is spliced from 3 exons.